GGCAAGGUGACCGAGCGGUUAAGGUGAUAGUCUCAAGCGCCAAGCUUGGCUGUACAAACAGCUGUGAUCUAUUGGGGAAACCCGCGUGAGUUCGAAUCUCACCCUUGUCA
Molecule: non-coding RNA, 110 nt
Organism: Trichodelitschia bisporula
Lineage: Eukaryota; Fungi; Ascomycota; Dothideomycetes; Phaeotrichales; Phaeotrichaceae
Source: the annotation of a GenBank genome assembly